Molecule: long non-coding RNA, 3651 nt
Organism: Alexandromys fortis (reed vole)
Lineage: Eukaryota; Metazoa; Chordata; Mammalia; Rodentia; Cricetidae
Exons: 3
Source: RefSeq, a predicted model, not a curated record
ACCACAGUAGCUGAAGGCAUUGAUUGCCCGUCCAGUUUGAUUGGGUUCCCACAGUGGUGUGGCCUUGUGCAAAUCCCUUAACCUCCUCCUAACCCUUGGUGUACUCAUUUGUAAAAUAAGGACCUGAACUACAUGGUUCUUGUUAUAGGAUGAAUGUGCCCUUUGAUGUCCCUGUUCCCAGUGUGACUGUAUUGAAGAUGAGGCCACAAGGGUAAUUAAGGUUAAAAGAGGUCAUGAAGAUGGGACCAUAACUGAAUAGAGCUUGGUGUCUUUAUAGGAGAAGGAAGUGGGGUUGGGGAGAUGGCUCAGUCAAGCAUGAGGACCUGAGUUCAAAUCCCCAGCGCCCAAGUAAAAGUCAGUCUACCAUUGGUGAGGGGAGAGGGGAGGAGACAGAAGGAUCCCUGGAGCAUACUGGCUGACUUGGUGAAUUCCAGGCCCCAUGACAGAUGCUGUUUCUAAAAACAAGGUGUGUGCACACACGUACGGAGGAAUAAAUGCAUUAAUUAAAUUAAAUAAAAAGGAAGAGGAAGACACACCAGAGGCCUCCCUUCUCAGGCUGAGUAAGCCCUGAGCAAAGCAAAGGGGCAGCCAUAGGACCCAGCCCAGGCUCCUUGACCUUGGACUGACAGCUUUUAGAGCUACUAGGCUUGGUUUCGUGGCUCAAGCCACCAGUGUGUGGUCCUUUAUUAGAUGCGCCUUGCAUACUGAUGAGUUCGACCCCCAUGAUUCUCUGGGCAGUGUAUCUGAAAACUCCCUUCACACCCAGCCCCCUUGGAGUUAGCGAUACCUCGCGCCCUGUUCUAGUACACACACUCCCACAGGGCCUCUGACAGUCCUAGCCGAGGCUCCUGUUUCUGGUGUCACCUUUGCCCGCUAGCCUCUCUCUGCCUUUACAGAUCAUUUCCCACUCUUCCCCUCACAUCACCUCAGUCUGCCCUUCCACAAACGCCUCUCUGACUUAGGCUCUCUCUGUGUGUACGAGGAUGUGAGGAGUCCAGAGGCAGACGCCUGGUGUCUUCUUCAAUCAUUCUCCACAGUGUAUUUUGAGACAGUCUCUCACUGAGCCUAAAGUUCACAGACUGGCUAGACAGGGGAGCUAAAGAGCUCUGGGGGACUGCCUAUCUCUGCCCCCCCCACAGUCCCCUAACACCUGCACCCCCAAACACACGCCUCUAGUGCUAGGGUUUACAAACACCUUUAGUCUGGGUGCUUGGAAUCUGAACUCAGGUCCUCAGGCUUGUACAGCGGGCACUUUACCAGCUGAGCCAUCUUCCCACCCCCAACCCCUACUCUUUCUGAGACAUAGUUUUACUAUGUUGUCUAGGAUAGUUUCCGACUUCCGGGCUCAAGCAGUUCUCUCAUGUCUACUCCCUAAUAGCUAGGACUACAAGAAUGCACUACAGUGCCUGGCUUUGUUGUUGUUGCUCUAAUAGAAUACCUGAAAUUGGGUUGUUUAUAAGGAAAAUUGAUUUAAGGUCAUAGUUUUGGAGUCUAAGAAAUCCGCUGGCAUCGUACUAUUAGUAAUACCUCAUGCUGCUUCAAAUCACGGCAUAAAACAAAAGGAAGACAGGACCUUCCAUAGCCUGCUUUGGGUAGUGACCGAUCAGUCCUGCAGAGAAGUCUCUCCUGUAAGGAAGCCAUUAACCUAAUCCCAGGAGGCCCCGCCUCUCAACGCUGGCCCAUUGAAGAAUUAUGAUUCCAACACGUGAAUAAAUGGAGGACACCAGAAACCACAGCAGGCGGAAAGACAGAAAGAGUGUGUUUACAGAGGGUGUUUGUCCCGGAUGGACCACUGAGCAGUGUCCAGGGACUGCAGUGUCCAGUGUGCUGCAGGCUUCUGUGCUACAAUCCUGCUCUGUCCCUGUCCUCCUCAUUGCCUUCUACGAGUCCACAAUGCUGCAUGAUGGGUGCUGUGUAAGGCGGGAGGAGACAGGAGCUCAGUGCAGUCCGUCUGAAGCAGUCUGAGGAAGUGAUCAGUCUGAGGAUGCAGUCUAAGGAAGCAGUCUGAGGACAGGAUUGCCUCUUUGGUCUGAGCAUUGGUAGAGCCAGUUCAUAUCAGGUGCUCUCUACCGAGUGGCUCUUCAUACUGUGACCGCAGGGUCUGCAGGAUUCUCUUCGCUUCUCGGCAAGGCUGAAUCAAACCCUCACCCCGGCCUACUGAAAUAGACCGCCUGUUUGAAGUUCUCAAGUGAGUCAUGUACACAUGGGGCAUCACUGCUGGAGGGUGUCCUCAAAGUCUUGUCAGUCGUCUGUCCAAGCCUCAUAUAGGGCCUGGGGAGAUAAUUCUAUUGUGUUUGCUUCAUAAGCGUGAGGAUCCACGUUCAGUCCCCGGAACCCAGGGCAGCACUGGGGCUGAAGAGUCAGCCAUGAUCAAUAAGCUAGCAGCACCCCUGAAGUGAAACCUUUGUGUUAGUGGGGCAACUGGUGCUGGUUGGCUGGAGCUAAGAAACGAGCGGUGAUUCAGAAGAGACCAGCAUCACCGAGGUGAAAUCUUCAGGGAAGGGUGUCCUGAGAGCACAGAGAUGGCUCUGUGUUCCAGACGUGCCACGGUUGUACCUCGCACUGGCAGCUGGACCUGGUUAUAUGCUAGAGUCACCCAGGUGGUACUGGUUUGGAAGGCAUGAAGGGGUCAUGGCAAACAAUUGACGCUCGGCAAUGUGAGAAGCCAGGAGAGGUCACUGGUGAAGGUGCAGCCUCAGUGGCAGUUGAAGGCCCAUGACAGAAGGGGUCAUGCAAAGAAGUGGAGGCUCAGCACCAUGAAGAGACCCUAUGAGAGGCUAUUGGCAGAGGUGCAGCCCAAUGGCAGGAGAAGACCCCUGAGUUUUGGAGAUGCCAGGACCAUGGAAUGAGCACCAAGAACAGCAGCAGAAGACAGGCUAUGUGUGCCGUAGAGAGUGGAGCCGGAGAAGUGACCCCAGCCCUUUGGAAGAGUCCUGGAGAUUGUGAGUGGAUCCCAGAUAUUGGACAGUUGGAAUUCAGUUUUGCUUUGCUUUGAUUUGUGACUGUACCCUGUUUUUUUUCCCCCUGUUGAAAUAAGAAAGUGUUUUACUAGCGCCCACAGUUGAGAGACUUUGGCUUUUAAAAGAUUUUGGAUUUUAAAAGAGACUGGCUAUUUUAAAGGGACUGAAAUUUUGAUGUGUUUGAAAUUGUGGAACGUUCAAAGUUACUUAAGUUUUUAACGUGAGAUCUUAGGGAUGAAUAAGAAAGAAAGGGCUGUGGCGUAAUAGUAUAUAUUUGUGUGUAUCAACUUGACACAAGCUAGAGUAAUCAGAGAGGAAGGAUCCUCAGUUGAGGAAAUACCUCCAUGAGAUCCAGCUGUAAGGCAUUUUUUCAGUUAGUGAUCAGUGUAGGAGGGCCCAGACCAUGGUGGGUGGUGCCAUCCCUGGGCUGGUGGUCCUGGGUUCUACAAGAAAGCAGGAUGAUCAAGCCAGGGAAUGUAAGCCAGUGUAAACAGCACCCCUCCAUGUCCUCUGCAUCAGCUCCUGCCUCCAAGUUCCUGCCCUGUUUGAGUUCCUGCCCUGACUUCCUUUGGUGAUGAACAGCCACGUGGAAGUGUGAACUGAAUAAACCCUUUCCUCCCCAGCUUGCUUUUUGGUUGUGAUGUUUGAUUACAGCAGUAAAAACCCUAACUGAGACACCUUUCAAGGGCUG